UAGGAAACAUUUUUUGAUGAAUUCGUUUUAGCUCAUAUUAUUGGAUGGUGGGGUAAAGCUAUAUUGCUUCGUAAUCAGCCUCUUCUUUGGGUGCUAUCAAUUGGAUUUGAGAUGAUGGAGCUUACCUUCCGUCACAUGCUACCAAAUUUUAAUGAAUGCUGGUGGGACAGUAUUGUUCUUGAUAUUUUGAUCUGCAACUGGUUUGGUAUUUGGGCAGGAAUGCAUAUUGUUAGGUACUUUGAUGGAAAAAUGUACAAGUGGGUUGGGAUAAGCCGUUAGCCUAAUAUUAUUGGAAAAGUAUGCUCUAAGUUUGGUGUUUUAGUUUUGAAUAUUUAAUGGAGAGUUAAUAUUAUUGGAAAAGUAUGCUCUGAUUUUGGUGUUUUAGUUUUGAAUAUUUAAUGGAGAGUUACCAAGUUGUAGCAAGAAGUUGAAAA
Humulus lupulus (European hop) is the source of this 434-nucleotide long non-coding RNA. RefSeq lists it as uncharacterized. The record is from RefSeq and is a predicted model, not a curated record. The transcript has 3 exons. NCBI's taxonomy places the organism in Eukaryota, Viridiplantae, Streptophyta, Magnoliopsida, Rosales, Cannabaceae.